Molecule: transfer RNA, 56 nt
Filed under: Gnathostomula armata
Lineage: Eukaryota; Metazoa; Gnathostomulida; Bursovaginoidea; Gnathostomulidae
Description: tRNA-Phe
Source: RNAcentral
GAUUAUAUAGUUUAUAAAAAAUGUUACAUUGAAGAUGUAAAGAAGAUUAAUGAUCA